CAGCCGCCGCGGUAAAACAGAGGGUGCGAGCGUUAAUCGGAUUUACUGGGCGUAAAGCGUGCGUAGGCGGCUUUUUAAGUCGGAUGUGAAAUCCCUGAGCUUAACUUAGGAAUUGCAUUCGAUACUGGGAAGCUAGAGUAUGGGAGAGGAUGGUGGAAUUUCCUGUGUAGCGGUGAAAUGCGUAGAUAUAGGAAGGAACACCAGUGGCGAAGGCGACCACCUGGACUGAUACUGACACUGAGGUGCGAAAGCGUGGGGAGCAAACAGGAUUAGAUACCCCCGUAGUCCCUGUCUCUUAUAA
RNAcentral lists this ribosomal RNA (301 nucleotides) under uncultured bacterium. RNAcentral describes it as "partial 16S ribosomal RNA". It matches the Rfam family "Bacterial small subunit ribosomal RNA", at positions 509 to 809 of the family's 1533-position model. The record is from RNAcentral.